UGAAAAGUCUUUCCCAGUCAUUAACAAGCUCUCUGCUGUCGGCGGUGACCAUUUCCUUUUCCAUGUCAUAACAACAAUUCCCUGAAGGAAGUUCAGGGGGAUGAUGGAUUCACCAAUGAAGCAGCCAUAUUGGGAGGAAAUUUGAUCACAUGACAUCAUUCUAACACCAUUCUGACAUGUCAAGCUUAUGUCAGGCACAGGCAGACACAUCCCAUCACUGGUAAUGAAUCCUGAAAUUGGGAAAAAAACAAAGGUUAUUCCUUAUCCGUAUGAGCAAUAAACACCGGCUCUAUUUA
Molecule: long non-coding RNA, 296 nt
Organism: Rana temporaria (common frog)
Lineage: Eukaryota; Metazoa; Chordata; Amphibia; Anura; Ranidae
Exons: 2
Source: RefSeq, a predicted model, not a curated record